RNAcentral lists this long non-coding RNA (224 nucleotides) under Eucalyptus grandis. Its description in RNAcentral is "long non-coding RNA (EGRA_LNC006400)". The record is from RNAcentral. Lineage: Eukaryota; Viridiplantae; Streptophyta; Magnoliopsida; Myrtales; Myrtaceae.
UCAGAGUUGCGAAGCAUGAGAUGUUUCCUAGGGAUUUCUUCUUAAUGAGCUCAUUUCAGCUUUUUGUUUGCAGAUCCAAGCUUUUUUGAGCAGUUUGGUUGGGGGAAUUUUGCUUGUUUUGUCCAUACAGUAUGUUAAUUCAUUAUUAGGCUGCGUGAGUUUUUCUUGGCCUCCAAGUCUUUAUUCAUUGUCUUUAGAUGCCAUGACAAGGCUCAAGUCAUAUG